RNAcentral lists this ribosomal RNA (484 nucleotides) under uncultured bacterium. Its description in RNAcentral is "partial 16S ribosomal RNA". It matches the Rfam family "Bacterial small subunit ribosomal RNA", at positions 30 to 507 of the family's 1533-position model. The record is from RNAcentral.
AUUGAACGCUGGCGGCAGGCCUAACACAUGCAAGUCGAGCGGAUGAAGGGAGCUUGCUCCUGGAUUCAGCGGCGGACGGGUGAGUAAUGCCUAGGAAUCUGCCUGGUAGUGGGGGAUAACGUCCGGAAACGGGCGCUAAUACCGCAUACGUCCUGAGGGAGAAAGUGGGGGAUCUUCGGACCUCACGCUAUCAGAUGAGCCUAGGUCGGAUUAGCUAGUUGGUGGGGUAAAGGCCUACCAAGGCGACGAUCCGUAACUGGUCUGAGAGGAUGAUCAGUCACACUGGAACUGAGACACGGUCCAGACUCCUACGGGAGGCAGCAGUGGGGAAUAUUGGACAAUGGGAGAAAGCCUGAUACAGCCAUGCCGCGUGUGUGAAGAAGGUCUUCGGAUUGUAAAGCACUUUAAGUUGGGAGGAAGGGCAGUAAGUUAAUACCUUGCUGUUUUGACGUUACCAACAGAAUAAGCACCGGCUAACUUCGUG